CCUAAUAGAACCCCAAAAACGAAAGUUACUCUAAUUAACCUCUUGAAUACACGACAGUUUGGGCACAAACUGGGAUUAGAUACCCCACUAUGCCAAACCGUAAAUUUGAACUACACUUAAAACGCCAGGGUACUACGAGCCAAGCUUAAAACCCAAAGGAUUUGACGGUGUUCCACCCAUCUAGAGGAGCCUGUUCUAUAAUCGAUGAUCCACGAUAUACCUAACCAUUUUUUGCUAUUCAGCCUGUAUACCUCCGUCGUAAGCUUACCGCUUGAGUGAGGAAAAGUAAGCAAAAGGACCUAAAGCCAAAACGUCAGGUCAAGGUGCAGCUUAUAAAAUGGAAGAAAUGAGCUACAAUUUCUAAUUUAGAAUACACGAAUUACUGCAUGAAACAAAGUCAUGAAGGUGGAUUUAGCAGUAAGUGAGGAAUAGAGAGCCUCACUUAAUUCGGCCCUGGAACGCGUACAAACCGCCCGUCACCCUCUUCGAUAGCUUCAUUAAUAGUUAAAUAACCUAUUUACCGCGUUUUAGAAGAGGCAAGUCGUAACAUGGUAAGCAUACUGGAAAGUGUUCUUGGAAUAA
Molecule: ribosomal RNA, 582 nt
Filed under: Polypedates braueri (Java treefrog)
Lineage: Eukaryota; Metazoa; Chordata; Amphibia; Anura; Rhacophoridae
Description: partial 12S ribosomal RNA
Rfam family: Bacterial small subunit ribosomal RNA
Source: RNAcentral